UCUGCUAGUUUUGGACACCCAAUAUUAUUAAGUUUUCUCAUUCUUACUUCAGAUAUUAGUCUGGAAGUCUGAGCAUUAUGCAAAUAGAGCAAGUAAGACUUAAAGAUGGACAGUGAAUGUGGAAGAUAGAAAAAUCUAAACAAGAUGAAAGAAGAAAGGAGAUUUGAAAAAAACCCAAACUGUCUGUCACAUAUCAGGGGCACAACAUCUGGACAUAGGUAGCAGACAGACUGCCUGUUGCCCUGAUCCAGCUGCUUUCUUCUGGCUCAGCCUGAAAACUCAGGAGAGUGCACAAGUAGGGAUUAAUGAGCUGUUUUCAGGGAAAGCAGAUGCUCCAGGGAAGAUGACAGAAAAUGUUUGCCCUUACAUUCUGGUUUUCAAUGGAGCAAAGAAAUUGCAGGAGAGAGAGCAAGGAUCUUUAAAACAGUCAAGAUUCAAAGCAUGUAGUGCUUUGAAAAUCAAUACAGCAACCUUGAACAUGGGAUCUUUGUGUGAAGAGCUAGUGCAAACAGUUCAGUAGGGAAGAGAAAAUGCUAGAUAAUGAUUUCUAAACCAGACAUACCCUACCUUCCUUUAUAAAACGGGAUAUUUGGAUAAACUACACGAAAAAUGCUCUCAAGCAAAUGGAAAAGAAGCAUGAUUAAAGCACAGAAACAGGAGAGUUGUCAUGAAGAAAAGAAGGAAAUUGACCGGUGAACAAGAUGAAGAGUUGGGAUGAGGCUCCUUUGUCUAUGCACGUGUAAUACUGCUACUUGAUCAGAGAGCUAAAAUAGUAAAAAGAUAAGAUAAACCCACAUUAAAAAUAGCAUAUUUAUACUAGAAGAAAACAGUCUUUCCUUCACCUUGUCAUUCUUGCUUCCUGUGCAAAGAGAAUGCAAACAUUUUGAUCAUUGUUGCACUAUGCAAUAAGACAGGGACCUACCAUGCAAACCACAUAUCAAUUCAGACUUCUUUUCUACUGUGUUAUUUUAAUUUUUUUAUAUAGAAAUGUGAUCAUUUGCAGGAGCAGCUUCUGCAUGCUUACAUAUGUGAUAAAAUUCUUGGCUGUGUGAAAAGCAGGCAAAUACAAAAACCAUGCCAUUGCAUCUGGCACUAUGUUUCAACCCUGCUACCCCAAAAUUGAGUCUAUA
Molecule: long non-coding RNA, 1130 nt
Filed under: Cyanistes caeruleus (blue tit)
Lineage: Eukaryota; Metazoa; Chordata; Aves; Passeriformes; Paridae
Description: lncRNA (ENSCCEG00000012376.1)
Source: RNAcentral